This 482-nucleotide ribosomal RNA is filed under the name uncultured bacterium. RNAcentral's name for it is "partial 16S ribosomal RNA". It matches the Rfam family "Bacterial small subunit ribosomal RNA", at positions 30 to 507 of the family's 1533-position model. The record is from RNAcentral.
AUUGAACGCUGGCGGCAUGCCUUACACAUGCAAGUCGAACGGUAACGGGCCUUCGGGUGCCGACGAGUGGCGAACGGGUGAGUAAUACAUCGGAACGUGCCCGAUCGUGGGGGAUAACGAGGCGAAAGCUUUGCUAAUACCGCAUACGAUCUACGGAUGAAAGCCGGGGACCGCAAGGCCUUGCGCGGACGGAGCGGCCGAUGGCAGAUUAGGUAGUUGGUGGGAUAAAAGCUUACCAAGCCGACGAUCUGUAGCUGGUCUGAGAGGAUGAUCGGCCACACUGGGACUGAGACACGGCCCAGACUCCUACGGGAGGCAGCAGUGGGGAAUUUUGGACAAUGGGCGCAAGCCUGAUCCAGCCAUGCCGCGUGCAGGAUGAAGGCCUUUGGGUUGUAAACUGCUUUUGUACGGAACGAAAAGCCUUCUUUUAAUACAGGAGGGUCAUGACGGUACCGUAAGAAUAAGCACCGGCUAACUACGUG